GACGAACGCUGGCGGCGUGCUUAACACAUGCAAGUCGAACGGAAAGGCCCUGCUUUUGUGGGGUGCUCGAGUGGCGAACGGGUGAGUAACACGUGAGUAACCUGCCCUUGACUUUGGGAUAACUUCAGGAAACUGGGGCUAAUACCGGAUAGGAGCUCCUGCUGCAUGGUGGGGGUUGGAAAGUUUCGGCGGUUGGGGGUGGACUCGCGGCUUAUCAGCUUGUUGGUGGGGUAGUGGCUUACCAAGGCUUUGACGGGUAGCCGGCCUGAGAGGGUGACCGGCCACAUUGGGACUGAGAUACGACCCAGACUCCUACGGGAGGCAGCAGUGGGGAAUAUUGCACAAUGGGCGGAAGCCUGAUGCAGCAACGCCGCGUGCGGGAUGACGGCCUUCGGGUUGUAAACCGCUUUCGCCUGUGACGAAGCGUGAGUGACGGUAAUGGGUAAAGAAGCACCGGCUAACUACGUG
This 468-nucleotide ribosomal RNA is filed under the name uncultured bacterium. RNAcentral describes it as "partial 16S ribosomal RNA". It matches the Rfam family "Bacterial small subunit ribosomal RNA", at positions 28 to 507 of the family's 1533-position model. The record is from RNAcentral.